RNAcentral lists this ribosomal RNA (460 nucleotides) under uncultured bacterium. RNAcentral describes it as "partial 16S ribosomal RNA". It matches the Rfam family "Bacterial small subunit ribosomal RNA", at positions 338 to 795 of the family's 1533-position model. The record is from RNAcentral.
CCUACGGGAGGCAGCAGUGAGGAAUAUUGGUCAAUGGACGAGAGUCUGAACCAGCAAAGUAGCGUGAAGGAUGACUGCCCUAUGGGUUGUAAACUUCUUUUAUAUGGGAAUAAAACGUUCCACGUGUGGGAUUUUGUAUGUACCAUAUUAAUAAGGAUCGGCUAACUCCGUGCCAGCAGCCGCGGUAAUACGGAGGUUUCGAGCGUUAUCCGGAUUUAUUGGGUUUAAGGGGAGCGUAGGUGGACUGUUAAGUCAGUUGUGAAAGUUGGCGGCUCAACCGUAAAAUUGCAGUUGAAACUGGCAGUCUUGAGUACAGUAGAGGUGGGCGGAAUUCGUGGUGUAGCGGUGAAAUGCUUAGAUAUCACGAAGAACUCCGAUGGCGAAGGCAGUUCACUGGACUGCAACUGACACUGAGGCUCGAAAGUGUGGGUAGCAAACAGGAUUAGAUACCCGAGUAGUC